This 457-nucleotide long non-coding RNA is filed under the name Zostera marina. Its description in RNAcentral is "long non-coding RNA (ZMAR_LNC001912)". The record is from RNAcentral. Lineage: Eukaryota; Viridiplantae; Streptophyta; Magnoliopsida; Alismatales; Zosteraceae.
CCGGCACCAAAUCCUGAGCCACUACCAGAACCAGAACCACCGUUAGUAUUUCCAUUACCACCUCCACCCCCAUUUCCACCUCCUCCUCCAAAUCCGCCAUCAGAUCCAAAACCGUAUCCAGAACCCGCUCCGGAUCCAAAUCCCCAUCCCCACCCUUUUUGACUCGGAGGUGGAGGAGAGUUGAUAACCGGUGGUGAGACAGAUGGAGGGCUCAUUAUAGGUGGUGAGACAGAUGGAGGGCUCAUUAUAGGUGGUGAGACAGAUGGAGGGCUCAUUAUAGGUGGUGAGACAGAUGGAGGGCUCAUUAUAGGUGGUGAGGCUGAUGGAGGAGAGUUAACUGGUGGUGGAACUGACGGCGGAGAGUUGGGACCAGAAGUUACUAUCGUGGCAGUGCCAGAACCAGUACCCGUACCCCCACCACUACCUCCAGCCACACCACCACCUCUUCCACCACCAA